This is a long non-coding RNA of Megalobrama amblycephala (Wuchang bream), 2237 nucleotides long. RefSeq lists it as uncharacterized. The record is from RefSeq and is a predicted model, not a curated record. The transcript has 4 exons. NCBI's taxonomy places the organism in Eukaryota, Metazoa, Chordata, Actinopteri, Cypriniformes, Xenocyprididae.
ACAUUACCAAAAAGGUAAAAAAACAACAACAAAACAAAGCUAUUUGCACAUGCUUAACAAUAUCUCAAACCAACUUCAUGAGGUGCAUCCUGGAUUUUCAACAGUCCUGAAGGAAAUUCCAUGCAUGCUGAACAAUUGUUAGCCGUGUUUCCUUUACGAGUCCAACAUGAGUCCAACAUUUUGAAUCAGCGGUUCUCAGUCUUUUUUGACUCAAAAGCCCCCCAAUGUCCAACAUAACAUUCAAAGGCCCCCAACCAUAUAGGCAGUAGAUUGUUGAGAUCACUGAGGUUUUGGGACGAUGGCUCUCAUUUCACCUCUAAUGACAAAACCUGGGAUCAGGCUGAUGGCUCCUGCUUACACUGUGAGAUAUAUAUAUCAAAAAUAUGAAAGGGAGGUAAGAUGAUACCUCGAGUGGUGUAUGAGACUCGACUGCAAAUUUACAGCUCAUCUGCCGACAUGGAGCAGGGAUGUAUUCAUCAUGGUGCCCAUGGACUGAAACCUGCCACUGCAGGACUUGGACAAGAGAUCUGUCACAAAUGACACAGGCCACAGUAAAAAAAUAAAUAAAUCUUUGUGUGAUGAAACUGAAACUGGAGUCUCUCUAAUAGUGAGGAUGUGAUGAAGCAUGUACACAGAGAUGCAACAGAGAGGUCAUCUUGGAAAAUAUAAACACCUCUACUCAAAUGCUUGGCCAGAAACAACACUCAUCAAAAGAGAUUCCAGAGACAGUAGGAAAGAUCCACAUGGCAAAUGUUUAGAUCUUGCUUAUCAUUCACCAAACCAGAAUUCUCACCAGUUGGAAAACUCCCCUGAGACGCCACUAAUGUGUGUUGUUUGAUAGAGAAAGGAUCAAGGAGACUGUAUUGAGGAGCAAACAGUCUUCCAUAAACUCUCUCUUCCUGGAAGCCCAGUCUGUCUUAAUGAGUUGGCUUUGGUAAAAAGGAAACACGUCGCUUGCAAAUUUUGGUCUUUCAAGUGCUGCUUUGGAAUACCAUCAAUCCACGCGCUCAUCCUCAUCGUCUUCGUUCUCAACGUGCCACAGUUUUGGGGAAACUCCAUUACAAAGAGUUCCUGCGGGUAUCUCAGAGGAUCUCAGUUACUCCAUUCCGCAAAUUCUCAUUUCAAAAACUGUCCCACCAGCUGUGGAGGCAACAAAAUGUGAAGUAAGCAAGAUAGCAUUUUUAAUAUAUAUUUUAAUACAUGAUUUGGACAUUGAACCAAAUAUUCAUUUGAAUCAUUGUUGAUUCAAUGUCAUCAUGAAAGAGUACCAUAUUUUACUGCAUUGCUUUUUUUACUUUUUUGUUUGAUCAGGCACUAAGCAUUAGGAUUUAUUGAGCUUUUUGCUUAGACUGGCCAGGUUUCCCUGCACAAUACCUCUCUCUGUUGGCCACUCUGCUCAAAAAAACAACCCUGAACUUAAGACAUUUCAUCCCUGUCCAGCAGAUAUGCAAUGGGGCCCAUCUUGUGUUGUUGUAUAUUUCCCUUUCAUUUUCUUUAUGCAUGACACAAGUCCACAGAUACACAACUGACCUCUUCCUCUAAUAAAUUAACAUCUAAACAUAUCACCUUCACUGCCAGCCGGGGUGGGUCAAUUGGACUCGAUGAGUGAAUCUGAGAACAGAGGGCCCCAUGGUACUAAAACGUGGUGUCUGAUUUUGCACUGUUAGGCGAUGUUAUUUUAGCCGGUGUUUGACUUUUGCGGCUGAGGCUAGACUUGUUAGUUUAGGUUCCUGCCCUUCUGCCAAUGUUGUUAGCCACAUUCAGAGCCACCCUCGACAUAUUAGGUGACUCUUUUGCUUCUUCGCUUUUGAAAAUAACAUAACAGAGUAUCCCCCACCUGAAGUGUUUUGCUCAGAGGAGCAUCUGAUUCCACUCUGAGGUAUAAACUUUUGAGCUUUGGCUUCAAAUGAAUCUUGCUCUUUUGAUUGAGCAGCAUGGAAAUGUGUUUGACUUGUUAAAUGACGAGGUUCACUAGCGCAUAAAGCAGCAUGGUGAUUUUGAAAGUGUGCAUCUAUUCAGCCCACAGUUAUAUAACAGACAAUUAGCUUGUGGUUUCAUUCAGCCACAGCUUUGAAAGGGCACCACAGUGAAUGAGGCUCAAAAGAGGAUCAUGUACUUAACGUCUGUCUAUCUUUUGAAAAAUAUAUAUAAAAUCAAGUACACAUAAAUAGCUUAAAAAUAUCAUAAAAACUGUCCCUUGAAAAAAAAAAAAAAACUGCAAUGUAUUAACCUAAAUC